UCUUCUGGGUGGUUUCGGAAACGCGUCUUUCAACUUGUUUCUCGUGUUCUUCAAAAUUUAUUCCGAAUAAUAAUAGCUAAGCCCUCGUUUCCUGCCGUUGUAUUAUCAAUUAUGUAUUAUGAUACGUUAUCACAUCGGCAGCCGACUGGCAGCUCUUCCUUUUCUACCUCGAUUUUAUUUUAUUGUCUUUUUCAUCGAGCUUUACAUUUUGUAAGAGAACCAACUGUGUGGAGGAAGGAAAAUAGUAUUACCAGCUAACGAUAAAACUACCUCUACAGCAAGUAUUAAAUGUUACAGGAGAAGGUACUUGCGAAAUUAAAUUUUAUACGGACGCUACACCAUCUAUGGUAUAAUUUCACCUGUUAGCUUUUGUAUUCCGCACACAAGAUCGGUACGAUUUAAAUUAAACGAAUUUAUUUAUAACAGGAGAGUACAUAAGAGUUGAACAAUUUGUAUGAUUAAAAUCCGACCGGGAAGUUUGCCGGGAAUAUUUUUACAAGCAAAGGGAGAGACCGUGUGGCAUAGUUUCCUCCAAUUUUCGAUCAACUUAACGAGAGUUUUUCUAUGUUUUAGAAUAAAUAACAUCAGGUGAAUUCGAUGACGGGGAGGUGAGCCGUACGUAGCAUCCGACCUACCUUAUUAAACCCAUAUAAUAUGUAUAACCUGGUUUAAAUCUUUACGGCUCAGUACCUCCAUUCGCUCCUUUAUUGCAGCCCUCUAUACGCGGGCUUUAUACACACCAAAGCUAUGCCGUCAUUGCGUUAUCCCUUAGCUGUUCGUUGCCGCUGAUGCUGCUACUGGAAGCAGGUACUACAAUUUGUGUAAGUGGAUCGAAGGAUCGAAGGAUUGGGUGAAAUUGUAAGAAAUCCAUUAAGGGGAUUGCAUCAAAAAGCAGUUGCGGACCACCGGGGAUGUAUACUUAUAUCGUUUUGACGACGAUUGGGUGAUCACUGUUACAAUGGUCAAACGGUCGCCUCCGGGGGCACUUACCCUCACAAAAGAGCGAGGUGGCGGGUGAGGGGGUGACCCUCUUCAUUCACAUCGCGAAAAUGUUCCUAGAUGUCGGACGUUGGAAAAGAUCCUUGGAAAAUUACGUUUAACGCGCGUAGGGCAAAAUUGAAGCGGUGCACAAGAGUCGGUGUAUUGCG
This is a long non-coding RNA of Athalia rosae (coleseed sawfly), 1148 nucleotides long. RefSeq lists it as uncharacterized. Lineage: Eukaryota; Metazoa; Arthropoda; Insecta; Hymenoptera; Athaliidae. The transcript has 3 exons. The record is from RefSeq and is a predicted model, not a curated record.